GACGAACGCUGGCGGCGUGCUUAACACAUGCAAGUCGUGCGGAAAGGCCCCUUCGGGGGUACUCGAGCGGCGAACGGGUGAGUAACACGUGAGUGACCUGCCCUUCACUCUGGGAUAACC
RNAcentral lists this ribosomal RNA (120 nucleotides) under uncultured bacterium. Its description in RNAcentral is "partial 16S ribosomal RNA". It matches the Rfam family "Bacterial small subunit ribosomal RNA", at positions 28 to 148 of the family's 1533-position model. The record is from RNAcentral.